UUUCUUGGGCACGACUUGAGUAGGACUCACCCACUUGCUGUCGAAAAUCGGGUAAAUAAUACCCACAUCAAGCAACUUAAGGACUUCUGUUUUAACCACGUCUCUCAUUGUCGGAUUCAGCCUACGCUGCAUUUGCCUUGUGGUUUUCGCAUUAUCCUCCAAAUAUAUCUGUUGCCCAAGGUGACAACCCAAGAGGGGGGGUGAAUUGGGUCUUUUAAAACUUUUAAACUACUUCUAAAACUUUUUGAUUAACUAUGCUAAGUUGUCUAGAUGCACAGUGAAAGUUAAACUUAGCAAGGGUUUGAUGUAUAGACUUCGACUUGAUUAAAUAUGCUUGCAACUAAAGGAUGUGCGGAUAAGAAUUAAGCAAGCAAUUU
RNAcentral lists this long non-coding RNA (377 nucleotides) under Phoenix dactylifera (date palm). Its description in RNAcentral is "long non-coding RNA (PDAC_LNC018377)". Lineage: Eukaryota; Viridiplantae; Streptophyta; Magnoliopsida; Arecales; Arecaceae. The record is from RNAcentral.